This 264-nucleotide small RNA is filed under the name Pongo abelii (Sumatran orangutan). Its description in RNAcentral is "Metazoan signal recognition particle RNA (ENSPPYG00000034625.1)". Lineage: Eukaryota; Metazoa; Chordata; Mammalia; Primates; Hominidae. The record is from RNAcentral.
GCCGGGCGUGGUGGCGGGCGCCUGUAGUCCCAGCUACUCGAGAGGCUGAGGCAGGAGAAUGGCGUGAACCCGGGAGGCGGAGCUUGCAGUGAGCAGAGAUCGUGCCACUGCACUCCAGCCUGGGCGACACAGCAAGAUGCUGUCUCUAAAUAAAUAAAUAAAUAAAACGGAGUCUCGCUCUGUCACCCAGGCUGGAGUGCAGUGGUGUGAUCUCAGCUCACUGCAAUCUCCGCCUCCCAGGUUCCAGCAAUUCUCCUCCCUCAG